This 637-nucleotide ribosomal RNA is filed under the name Limosilactobacillus panis. RNAcentral describes it as "bacterial SSU rRNA". It matches the Rfam family "Bacterial small subunit ribosomal RNA", at positions 45 to 660 of the family's 1533-position model. The record is from RNAcentral. Lineage: Bacteria; Bacillati; Bacillota; Bacilli; Lactobacillales; Lactobacillaceae.
CGCACUGGCCCAACUGAUAUGACGUGCUUGCACUGAUUUGACGAUGGAUUACCAGUGAGCGGCGGACGGGUGAGUAACACGUGGGCAACCUGCCCUAAAGCGGGGGAUAACAUUUGGAAACAGGUGCUAAUACCGCAUAACUACGAAAACCACAUGGUUUUCGUAUAAAAGAUGGUUUCGGCUAUCACUUUAGGAUGGGCCCGCGGUGCAUUAGCUAGUUGGUAGGGUAACGGCUUACCAAGGCAAUGAUGCAUAGCCGAGUUGAGAGACUGAUCGGCCACAAUGGAACUGAGACACGGUCCAUACUCCUACGGGAGGCAGCAGUAGGGAAUCUUCCACAAUGGGCGCAAGCCUGAUGGAGCAACACCGCGUGAGUGAAGAAGGGUUUCGGCUCGUAAAACUCUGUUGUUGAAGAAGAACGUGCGUGAGAGUAACUGUUCAUGCAGUGACGGUAUUCAACCAGAAAGUCACGGCUAACUACGUGCCAGCAGCCGCGGUAAUACGUAGGUGGCAAGCGUUAUCCGGAUUUAUUGGGCGUAAAGCGAGCGCAGGCGGUUGCUUAGGUCUGAUGUGAAAGCCUUCGGCUUAACCGAAGAAGUGCAUCGGAAACCGGGCGACUUGAGUGCAGAAGAGGACA